UUUCUGGUUGAAAAUAUAAACCCUACAAAUUUAAAAGUAAAGAAUUAUAACACCAUACAUUUAUCAGUGUUCAUUUUUCGCCACACACGCACACAUUAACAUACAAAUUAUAGUAAAACUAUAAUAGAUCCCUCGCUACGCUCUGAAUCCAAAAACAGCAACGAACGUAUAUUAUAAAUUGCAAUGGGAUCAAGGAUAAUCCUUCGAGGUUUCGACUGCCCCUACUGUCCUAAUACUCAACUAUUCCUGUCCUUAAUUUAACGAUAAAAAUGCACCGUUUGUUUGUAAGAAGUAUAUAUGUAUAUUAUAAAUUAUUUUAGUAUUACGAUCAAAGAUAUUUCUUUCGAAGGUUUGACUACCCCUACUAUCCCAGUACCCGAUUAUCCCUACUAUUCAUUUAACGAUACAAAUGCACCGAUUUUUUGGAGAUAAUAUAUUAUAUAAUUACAGUAAAUUAAAGUAUUGUAAUAUGAUAGUAUUCGGGUGUUAAUUGUUUUACAAAGAUAACGUAAAAGGUAGAGGAACCAUUUGUUUCUUAGAGUGACUGAGCUUAGCUAUUUACUGACAUUUUUUUGCAGAUUUUU
This is a non-coding RNA of Cinara cedri, 584 nucleotides long. The record is from the annotation of a GenBank genome assembly. NCBI's taxonomy places the organism in Eukaryota, Metazoa, Arthropoda, Insecta, Hemiptera, Aphididae.